RNAcentral lists this long non-coding RNA (1208 nucleotides) under Gallus gallus (chicken). Lineage: Eukaryota; Metazoa; Chordata; Aves; Galliformes; Phasianidae. The record is from RNAcentral.
CGGGACCCCGCGGCCGUGGCCGUGCGUCCCUCUUGGGUCGGGAUGCCGGGGCUGCGGCCGCGCGCCUUCGGCCGCAUCCCGCCCUCAGCAACGCGCCCCGCGCCUCACCCUUCGCACAGCUAAGUCACAGCCAGCCAGCGCUUAGCGCCUCCUCCAGCCUGUCUGGAAGGAAGAAAGGCCCAUCCCUUCCUGCCCCUCCAGGUAUGUACCAAUACCACUGCCAGCGUCCGGAGGAACCGCUGGGCCCUGAGGUGGGCACGGCUGCAGGCUGGCGUUUAGUAGGAAUUUAUACCUGCGAACCAAAGAGAAAUCUCCGUGCCCCUCUCCCCUUAUGAACUCAGACAUGGCCCCGCAGGGAGGUUUAAUGCGUGUGAAAUGCUGUUCAAAAAUCAAUUGCAAGUGGUUUGGGUUACAAAUUGGCACAGAACUGUUGCUUUGUAAAAUACUGUGAGGCUUACAGAUUUGUCAUCGUUAUCACCACCAUUUCCCAUGUUUCUCCACCAAUCUCACGUUACAGUCAUCGUCCUCUAAACUAGGAGAAAGGGGUGUCUAUAUAAGAAUCACAACAGCAACAAUUCAGCAAUGAAUGAUGCCUGUGAGGAGAUGAAGAGAAUGCCCCCUGAAACGAACAGAAUUUCUCCUUGUCUCACGUCCCUUAGUCUUGACCAGCUCAAGAGGAGGAGGCAUGCCGGUCUCUGUAUCUUCCCAAAGGAACAGUGAGAAGCCUUCCUGCUGCCACAGCGCUAGCUAAAAUGGGUGAGCAGCAGCUCCUGACGAAUACGACAGGCUUCAGAGUCCAUUGACUCCAUUUGCUCAUACUCCUCCUCCGCUGGCUCCACGUGCCCCGCCGCAGGGGCAGACCACACGUCCAGCCCGUGCUGCAGGGAGAUGUUGUGAAGCACGCAGCAGGCCAGAAUGAUGUGGCUGGAUUUCUCGGGGGAGUACUGCAGGGUGCCUUUGGACCCGUCCAGGCAGCGGAAUCGCGAUCGGAUGGUUCUGAAUGUCCUCUCAAUGACGUUGUGUGUGGCAGAGUGCGCCAUGUUGUAGCGGUAUUCCGCAGGUGUCUCAGGGAUGUGCAGGGGGGUCAUCAGCCAGGUGCGGAGAAAGAAGGAGCUGUCACCCAGCAGCCAGCCAUCCUUGUACAGCUCGUUUUCAAACUGGCUGGUAAGGGCUGCCUGCUGCAGCACGUUGCAGUCGGGCAUGCUGCC